This 253-nucleotide ribosomal RNA is filed under the name uncultured bacterium. RNAcentral describes it as "partial 16S ribosomal RNA". It matches the Rfam family "Bacterial small subunit ribosomal RNA", at positions 524 to 776 of the family's 1533-position model. The record is from RNAcentral.
UACAGAGGUGGCAAGCGUUGUCCGGAAUUACUGGGCGUAAAGGGCGCGUAGGCGGCUUGGUCAGUCCCGUGUGAAAUCCCUCGGCUCAACUGAGGAACUGCACGGGAAACUGCCUGGCUUGAGUUCGGGAGAGGGAAGCGGAAUUCCGGGUGUAGCGGUGAAAUGCGUAGAUAUCCGGAGGAACACCGGUGGCGAAGGCGGCUUCCUGGACCGACACUGACGCUGAGGCGCGAAAGCUAGGGGAGCAAACGGG